Molecule: long non-coding RNA, 1439 nt
Filed under: Junco hyemalis (dark-eyed junco)
Lineage: Eukaryota; Metazoa; Chordata; Aves; Passeriformes; Passerellidae
Description: lncRNA (ENSJHYG00000013644.1)
Source: RNAcentral
UCCCCUCUUUCCUAGACCUCUACUUAAUUUAGCGUCAGGCGAAGUCUCAGAGCCAAAAGGGGUGUUUUUUUUUUUUUUUUUCUGUUUUGGUUAUUUAUUUAUUUAUUUAUUUUUUAGCGCGAUGGGGCUCGUUUUACGGCAGCUCUGACCGAGAUGGAGUAAGUGUAUAUGAUAUUAUAUGUAGCAGUUAUACUUUUAUAUAUAUAUAAAAAAAAAAUGUUUUCCCAGUGCAGCAAAACUGUACUGGGAAUUGCAGUGCAAAAUGCAAGUUUUAAAAUUAAUUCAUCCUGACAGGUUUGACAUCGCCCGGCUCCCUUUUUCCUGCAACUACGUCCGCAAAUGAAUGCCGCUUCCAGAGUGUACGUGCUGUGCUGAGCACUCUGUCAGGUCUGUGACAGUCAACAGCAAAUAAAGAACUGCAAACCAGAGCACAAGUUGUCAUUAUCAAGUGAGCCAUUCCUUCCAAAAACAGAUGGAGAGAGAUGCCACUCCUUAUUUUACAAAAUGCAUAUUUAGAAGAGCUGACUGGGGCUGGGAGCUGCCCUUUUCCUGGAGUAGGACAACCUUGCCAGCUGGGCGUUUGGAGGACAGCAAGGAGUUUGCCCACAACUGGGAAGAGCAGGAAGAACACAGAGAGCAAGGCCUUGGAGGAGGCACAAGAAAAGACUGCUAAAGGAGUCAGAGCACUACUUCUGCAGUUUUCCAAAGCCAACAUACUGGCCCUGAGCCUAGCGGACAUCACUGAUGUGCAUGUAUGUAAGGGGUUUGUAUGGAUGUUCAACUCUAUCUUGUCUUUGGCAGUUUGAAUUUUACCUGCUCUAAAAUGGUGGUUGUCAUCUCUCCUGAUGUAACCAUUCCCCGUGUUUAAAGACAACAAAUACAAAAUAUCUGUAAAUACAAGUCUGAAUUUUAUAAGGCCUUUUGGUCUUAAACAGGUGCUUGCAGUUUUACCACAAAGCUUCUAAAACUUCCAGUUGUGAAAAUAAUUUUUAAGUCCUGCUAGAAGCUUGCAAAUGAUGGAAGAUUAAAGGUUAUGGUACCAAAUUAUAACAAAAAUCCAAAUAUAUACUUUCAAAGAGAAAUAUGCUUAAUAUUUGCUGCCAUUACUUUUAGCAUUUAAGUUUUGGUAUGAGCAGCCUCAAGUACUUGCCAAGUUUUUAUAGGUAACCUGUUGUUUGCAAAUCAAAGAAAUAUCCCAUUUCCUGACCUUUGACUUUUUGUUUGUUCUCACACACACAAUAUUUGAUUCAUAAGAGAAAAUUUUAGUAUUCGCUAUUAGGCUUAGAUACUUUUGCAGUUAAUGUAUGACUUUCAACUUAAUCUUGUUUUUCUUUAAUUUUUUGUGCUAGGUGUUUUUCUUGAAAAUGUGUUAAAAUGUAAGUCAGCUGACUUCCUUCAUAGGUAAUAAAUAAAAUAAGAUUUUCCUCUUGUGCUAUUUU